GGGGCUGUGGCUCAGAGACAGAGAGUGCUCGCCUGGCAUGCGUGAGGCACUGGGUUCGAUCCUCAGCACCA
This 71-nucleotide transfer RNA is filed under the name Ictidomys tridecemlineatus (thirteen-lined ground squirrel). RNAcentral describes it as "Spermophilus tridecemlineatus (thirteen-lined ground squirrel) tRNA". It matches the Rfam family "tRNA". Rfam says of the family: Transfer RNA (tRNA) molecules are approximately 80 nucleotides in length. Their secondary structure includes four short double-helical elements and three loops (D, anti-codon, and T loops). Lineage: Eukaryota; Metazoa; Chordata; Mammalia; Rodentia; Sciuridae. The record is from Rfam by way of RNAcentral.